Molecule: ribosomal RNA, 491 nt
Filed under: uncultured Proteiniphilum sp.
Lineage: Bacteria; Pseudomonadati; Bacteroidota; Bacteroidia; Bacteroidales; Dysgonomonadaceae
Description: bacterial SSU rRNA
Rfam family: Bacterial small subunit ribosomal RNA
Source: RNAcentral
GCUCAGACACUUAAAGGAAUUGACGGGGGCCCGCACAAGCGGAGGAACAUGUGGUUUAAUUCGAUGAUACGCGAGGAACCUUACCCGGGCUUGAAAUGCAUCUGACCGGCCUUGAAAGAGGUUUUCCCUUCGGGGCAGAUGUGUAGGUGCUGCAUGGUUGUCGUCAGCUCGUGCCGUGAGGUGUCGGCUUAAGUGCCAUAACGAGCGCAACCCUCAUCAUUAGUUACCAUCAGGUAAGGCUGGGGACUCUAAUGAGACUGCCAUCGUAAGAUGUGAGGAAGGUGGGGAUGACGUCAAGUCCUCAUGGCCUUUAUGACCAGGGCUACACACGUACUACAAUGGCCGAUACAAAGGGCAGCGACACUGCGAGGUGAAGCCAAUCCCGUAAAAUCGGUCUCAGUCCGGAUUGGAGUCUGCAACUCGACUCCAUGAAGUUGGAAUCGCUAGUAAUCGUGGAUCAGCAUGCCACGGUGAAUACGUUCCCGGGCCUU